UGGUUCAAGCUUGUAGUCGUGCCUGGUAGGUAAAUCCGCCGGGCUUAGAUGAGGGGUGAUAACGAGGCUGCUUGCAGCCGAAGUGAGUGAUACCCUGCUUCCAGGAAAAGCCACUAAGCUUCAGCUAUACACGACCGUACCGCAAACCGACACUGGUGCGCGAGAUGAGUAUUCUAAGGCGCUUGAGAGAACUCAGGAGAAGGAACUCGGCAAAUUGACACCGUAACUUCGGAAGAAGGUGUGCCUUUAGUAGGUGAAGGGAUUUACUCCUGGAGCCCAAUGAGGUUGCAAAAAAUCGGUGGCUGCGACUGUUUAUUAAAAACACAGCACUCUGCAACCACGAAAGUGGACGUAUAGGGUGUGACGCCUGCCCGGUGCUGGAAGAUUAAAUGAUGGGGUGCAAGCUCUUGAUUGAAGUCCCAGUAAACGGCGGCCGUAACUAUAACGGUCCUAAGGUAGCGAAAUUCCUUGUCGGGUAAGUUCCGACCUGCACGAAUGGCGUAACGAUGGCCACACUGUCUCCUCCUGAGACUCAGCGAAGUUGAAAUGUUUGUGAUGAUGCAAUCUCCCCGCGGAAAGACGGAAAGACCCCAUGAACCUUUACUGUAGCUUUGUAUUGGACUUUGAACAGAUCUGUGUAGGAUAGGUGGGAGGCUUUGAAGCAGGGUCGCUAGAUCUUGUGGAGCCAACGUUGAAAUACCACCCUGGUGUGUUUGAGGUUCUAACCUAGGUCCAUUAUCUGGAUCGGGGACAGUGCAUGGUAGGCAGUUUGACUGGGGCGGUCUCCUCCCAAAGCGUAACGGAGGAGUUCGAAGGUACGCUAGUUACGGUCGGACAUCGUGACGAUAGUGCAAUGGCAUAAGCGUGCUUAACUGCGAGACUGACAAGUCGAGCAGAUGCGAAAGCAGGACAUAGUGAUCCGGUGGUUCUGUAUGGAGGGCCAUCGCUCAACGGAUAAAAGGUACUCUGGGGAUAACAGGCUGAUACCGCCCAAGAGUUCAUAUCGACGGCGGUGUUUGGCACCUCGAUGUCGGCUCAUCUCAUCCUGGGGCUGUAGCCGGUCCCAAGGGUAUGGCUGUUCGCCAUUUAAAGAGGUACGUGAGCUGGGUUUAAAACGUCGUGAGACAGUUUGGUCCCUAUCUUCCGUGGGCGCUGCAGAUUUGAGGAAGCCUGCUCCUAGUACGAGAGGACCGGAGUGGACACACCUCUGGUGUAUCGGUUGUCACGCCAGUGGCAUUGCCGAGUAGCUAAGUGUGGAAGAGAUAACCGCUGAAAGCAUCUAAGCGGGAAACUCGUUUCAAGAUGAGAUCUGCCGGGGCCUUGAGCCCCCUAAAGAGUCGUUCAAGACCAGGACGUUGAUAGGCAGGGUGUGGAAGCGCAGUAAUGCGUUAAGCUAACCUGUACUAAUUGCUCGUUCGGCUUGAUC
Molecule: ribosomal RNA, 1426 nt
Filed under: metagenome
Description: bacterial LSU rRNA
Rfam family: Bacterial large subunit ribosomal RNA
Source: RNAcentral